This 375-nucleotide ribosomal RNA is filed under the name uncultured bacterium. Its description in RNAcentral is "bacterial SSU rRNA". It matches the Rfam family "Bacterial small subunit ribosomal RNA", at positions 59 to 480 of the family's 1533-position model. The record is from RNAcentral.
CAGUCGAGCGAGACCUUCGGGUCUAGCGGCGGACGGGUGAGUAACGCGUGGGAACGUGCCCUUUGCUACGGAAUAGUCCCGGGAAACUGGGUUUAAUACCGUAUGUGCCCUUCGGGGGAAAGAUUUAUCGGCAAAGGAUCGGCCCGCGUUGGAUUAGGUAGUUGGUGGGGUAAUGGCCUACCAAGCCGACGAUCCAUAGCUGGUUUGAGAGGAUGAUCAGCCACACUGGGACUGAGACACGGCCCAGACUCCUACGGGAGGCAGCAGUGGGGAAUCUUAGACAAUGGGGGCAACCCUGAUCUAACCGUGCCGCGUGAGUGAUGAAGGCCUUAGGGUUGUAAAGCUCUUUCAGCUGGGAAGAUAAUGACGGUACCA